Molecule: ribosomal RNA, 253 nt
Filed under: uncultured bacterium
Lineage: Bacteria
Description: partial 16S ribosomal RNA
Rfam family: Bacterial small subunit ribosomal RNA
Source: RNAcentral
UACAGGGGGUGCAAACGUUGCUCGGAAUUAUUGGGCGUAAAGCGCACGUAGGCGGUUGCUUAAGUCGGAUGUGAAAGCCCUUGGCUCAACCAAGGAAGUGCAUCCGAAACUGAGCAGCUGGAGUACGAAAGAGGGUCGCGGAAUUCCCAGUGUAGAGGUGAAAUUCGUAGAUAUUGGGAGGAACACCGGUGGCGAAGGCGGCGACCUGGGCCGAUACUGACGCUGAGGUGCGAAAGCGUGGGGAGCAAACAGG